UGGGGAAUUUUGGACAAUGGGGGAAACCCUGAUCCAGCCAUCCCGCGUGUGCGAUGAAGGCCUUCGGGUUGUAAAGCACUUUUGGCAGGAAAGAAACGUCGCGGGUUAAUACCCCGCGAAACUGACGGUACCUGCAGAAUAAGCACCGGCUAACUACGUGCCAGCAGCCGCGGUAAUACGUAGGGUGCAAGCGUUAAUCGGAAUUACUGGGCGUAAAGCGUGCGCAGGCGGUUCGGAAAGAAAGAUGUGAAAUCCCAGAGCUUAACUUUGGAACUGCAUUUUUAACUACCGGGCUAGAGUGUGUCAGAGGGAGGUGGAAUUCCGCGUGUAGCAGUGAAAUGCGUAGAUAUGCGGAGGAACACCGAUGGCGAAGGCAGCCUCCUGGGAUAACACUGACGCUCAUGCACGAAAGCGUGGGGAGCAAACAGGAUUAGAUACCCUGGUAGUCCACGCCCUAAACGAUGUCAACUAGCUGUUGGGGCCUUCGGGCCUUGGUAGCGCAGCUAACGCGUGAAGUUGACCGCCUGGGGAGUACGGUCGCAAGAUUAAAACUUAAA
RNAcentral lists this ribosomal RNA (557 nucleotides) under uncultured bacterium. RNAcentral's name for it is "partial 16S ribosomal RNA". It matches the Rfam family "Bacterial small subunit ribosomal RNA", at positions 355 to 905 of the family's 1533-position model. The record is from RNAcentral.